CCAAUUUGCUUAAAGCAUUCUUCCCCUACACUAUGAAAACAAUCCCCCCAAAAGGACAUAGAACUAAGAAAAAUAAAGCCCUGUGGAUCUAGUCUUUUUUAAAACAGAUUAAGCUUUCUUAGGAGACUUGGUGGCCUUUGAUGGAGAUUUGGGUUCUUUGCCGGCGGCCUUUUCAGUCUUCUUCGGCAAAAGAACUGGGUUGAUGUUCGGCAACACACCACCGUGAGCGAUUGUUACGCCGGCGAGAAGCUUCCCUAAUUCUUCGUCGUUCCUCACGGCAAGUAGAACGUGCCUUGGGAUGAUCCUGUUUUUCUUGUUGUCACGUGCAGCGUUCCCAGCCAAUUCCAGGACCUGAAUCCAAAUUCAAAUUGAGAAACACGAAAUUCAAGUAUACGAAAACACAGUUAAAGGAUUUCAAUUUAAUUUGAUAUACCUCAGCAGCCAAGUACUCAAGAACAGCAGCCAAGUAAACCGGGGCUCCGGUUCCAACACGCUGUGAAUACCUUCCUUUCUUCAAGUAACGGCCGAUCCUACCAACGGGGAACUGGAGACCAGCUUUGACAGACCUUGAAACGGGCUUCUUCUUCGGGCCACCACCUUUCCUUCCUCCGGCUCCCUUCUUUACUUUUCCUGAAGUUUCCAUUACUUCGAAACGACCCAAAUGCUUCGUUAACUUAAAACUCUUAGCUUUAGAAUUAGAGGAUAUUGAUUGGUACAGGAGAACUGAAGAAUGGAAUGGACGUCUCGGUAUUUUAUAGCAGUGGAUUUGGUGGAGAUGGUGUGAAGCAGGCGAGGAAUGAGUGCCGUUAGAUGGGAACUUAUUCGACGGUUCAAAUUUAGAUAUUGGGGAUCCGUGCGAUCUCCAAACAACCAAUGAGAAACAAACUAUCAAUUUUUUGAAUUUUUAUCUCAUUCUGAAGUAAUUUGGGCGCCAUUUACAAAUUUUUUGGUUUCCCGCUUCUGAAUUUCGGGUUCUUUUGAAGGCAUUUGUGGUUAGACAUAUUUGUUCGUCAUUUUAGAAUUUUCAGGUUGAAAGUUCAAUUACUAAAAAAUAUUAAAUUAUAAUUAUGGGUAAUUAUUUAAUACACUAUAAUCGGAGUUUUUUAAACUCUACAGGUGAGUUGAAAGUGAAGGUUAAAAUACCAUAGAGACACUUCUACUAAGAGUGAAGGUAUAUUUUUGUUUUUCAGCUCAAAAUAUGGAUAAAUUAAUUUGUAUACAUUUAAAUUAAAAAGUAAAUUAUUCAUUUCUUUUAAAAAAUUAUUCAUUUAUACUGUUAAAAAUUAGCGACAAUGAUAGAAUAACUAAAUAGUGAUUCUUAAUAUGCCACGUGUAUAUUAUGUUAAUGUAUAUGAAUCAAUUUUUAAGAGUAAAAAUAGACAAAAAAAUUUUAAUAGAAUAAUCAAUGUAUUAUUUGAUCUAGUGUAAAAUGGUAGAAUUAAAUUUAGAAGUGGAAGGUUUGAGUUUGGGUUUUAUCAUACUCAUUAAGAUUUACCACCAAACCAAAGCGAUUCUACUCGUUAUCCAUUAAGUAAAAAGAAAUUAAAGAUAAAAAAUGAGACAACAACCCAUAAAAAUUAAACCUCAAUUCUAAAAUCAAUGACUUCAAUUUUAAAAAAGAAGUCAAGAUACAUAAAACCCUUAAAUUAUUUUCUAAAAAAAACGAAAAUAAUGAGGUAAAAAUAAUUGUUGGAUACAAAACCAAAAAGCAAAGAGAUAGAUAAACAAAUAGAGAAAAUACAACUUUCAUGAAAUUAAAGUAUUAAAAUUGGGGAAAAAAAAGAAAAUAAUACCUAAAUUUCCCCUCUAUUUUCUCACUUUGAUCGUUGGAAAAAACUUUAACUUCAUUUUUCCAGGAUUUGUUAACAAUUGUAUUGAAUUUUUAGAUGAAUGGAUUAUUCUAAAGAGAGAAAAAUACAACAGAGAAAGAUAAACAAAAAGAUUGAAAAUAAUUUUAAUUUUUGGUAAUUGUCACUCAACUUAGAUUUUUUUUUCCUUUUCUCUUCUUCUAAUGUCUAGUUAGGGUUUUUAUUGGAGCUGUUUAAAUGACAACAUAGACUCCAGCGUGGCUAGUUAAAUGUCGCGUCAAUUCACCAUUAUGUUUGUAACGGAAAAUGGUUAGUAGGACCAAGUUGUUGUUUUUUGAAAAUUGAGUGAUUGUUGUAAAGAGAGAAAGAUAAACAAAGAAAUUGAAAAUAAUUUUAAGUUUUGGUAACCGUCACUCAACUUGGAUUUUUUUUCUUUUUCCCUUCUUAUACUAUCCAAUUAUGGUUUUUAUCGGGGUUGUUUAAAUGACAACAUAGGCUCCAACGUGGCCGUUUAAAUGCCAUGUCAAUUUUUUGUUACAUUUGUAAUGGAAAAUAGUUAGUAGGAAUGUUUUGUUAUUUUUUGAUAGUUGAGUGUCAAAGAAUAACCCAUAAAAAUUAAACCUCAAUCCUGAUAGAGUUGUUUAAAUGACAACAUAGACUCUAACUUGGUCAGUCAAAUGCCACGUCAAUUUACCGUUACGUUUGUAAUAAAAAUUGUUUAAUAAGAAUAUUUUGUUAUUUUUUAAAAGUUGAGUAACUGUUGGUAUAAUUUACCAUACUUUUUACCUAUAAAUAAAUUAUAAAAUAUUGUCCAUGUUUGAACUUACAGCGUGUUUGGUUCAAUAUUAUUAACAAUUAUGUUAAGAUAUGGCUAAAUUAUUUAUUAUUUUUUUAUUAAAUUAUAUUUAAUAAUAAUCUUAUUAAAAUUUAAUAACAAUAACAAUAAUUAUCUAUUUAACAAAAAAUUCUGCUAAGGGUACUUUGGCUAUUUAAGCCUUUUUCCUUAUGCUAUUACAACAUAUAUUAUAUUAAACCAAACACAAUAAUACUAUUACAGAUUUAUUCCAUUUCAUUCAAUCAAACAACUUUAUUACUAAUUACAACUCUAUUUCAUUACAGUUUUAUUUCAUUCCCCCAAACCAAACAUGCACUUUAAUGUUUAAUGUGAACAAUAACUUCAACAACUAAUCAGAAGAACCCUUAGAAGCUAUCAUGUGAGUAUUGGUUGUACAUACCACAUGAUAAAUUAUCAGAAUCUUAUAGCUUAGGUUAGUACUACAUUUGAACUUGUGAUAACGUGCUCGUAACCAAUGAGAAUUUGCUUCUCAUACACAUGUCCUUUUGCUCAAGCAGCCUCCAUGAUUUCAUCUUAUUUAUAAAAGAUGAAAACAAAAUUGUACCAACAAAAAUACAUCAAGAAUAGAAACUAGAUGUUUCAUUUCCAUUAAAGUAACGUACAUGAUAAUGGGACUCUUAACAGUUUUUCUAGUUUGCUUAAAACAUCCCAAAGGAAAUACAACUAAUAAAAAUAAAGCCAUAUUAAACUAUGUUUCUUAACAAUCAAAUUAAGCUUUCUUAGGAGACUUGGUAGCCUUUGAUGGAGAUUUGGGUUCUUUGCCGGCGGCCUUUUCAGUCUUCUUCGGCAAAAGAACUAGGUUGAUGUUCGGCAAUACGCCACCACGAGCGAUGGUUACGCCAGCGAGAAGCUUCCCUAAUUCUUCGUCGUUCCUCACGGCGAGUAGCACCUACCUUGGUAUGAUCCUAUUUUUCUUGUUGUCCCAAAUUAAGAAACACGAAAUUUAAGUAUACCCAAACACAGUUAAAUAAUUUGAUUUUAAUUUGAUAUACCUUAGCAGCCAAGUACUCAAGAACUGCAGCCAAGUAAACUGGGGCAUUUUCAGUUUACUCUAGAGCCAUAUGUAAUUGAAUCAUUUUCUUCGUUGAAGUGUUUAGGUAUUGAACAUUGUCGUUGUGGAGUCGGAAGGUAAAUAAUGCUCUAAAUUCGCACAUAAUUCUUAUAUUUCUAAUUUUGCAGUUGAAAUCAUAAUUUCUAACAUAUAUAUUUUCAAUGGACUUGUAGGAAUGUCAAUAAAACAACUCAUCACUAGAAAAAGGUAUUUUAGUAUAUGCAAACUAUUUAUCUAUUGAUGUUUCUUCAUCUUAUAUUGUGGAUAUUUUUAUCAGCUGAAAGAUCUUUUGUUCGUGCUGGUAUAGGAGAAAAUUAUAAAUGGUUCUAUUGAGUAAAACGAUUUAGUUUCUGUUUAAAAUUUAAGAUAAAUUACACAGAUGAUUAUCUAUAAUUUAUUAUUAUCUCGACCACCAUACUAGGCAAGCUAAACCCACCAUUAGCCUCCACCAUCGCCACCAUUCUUCACCGUGCCCUUCACAUCAUUACUACAUUUCCUCCACUGUCAAACCCAAUGUCAAGUCCCAUAACAACCACCAUAAAUCAACCUAAACAUAACCCCAUCGCUACUGUCCACCCUUCAAAAAUCAUACCUGAAGUCCCUACUACUCACUAAAAAUAAAAAAAAAGCCCCCAAUCCAAAGUUGAAAAACAAAAAAGAGAAUAAGUUAGAAAAAAGAAUGAAGAAAAAAUAUUAAGAGAAAAGAAAACACAUCUAGUAGAAUUGGAGCCUCCAAUGGCCUCCUUCCAAAUUUGGAAAAUAGGUACGGCGCCAAUACUACGAAGAAAACCAUACCUCCAAACCAGGCAAUUGGACAGUCUAAGGAGAUUGAAAGACAUUCGCUCCUAAUUUCAAGGCCAGAUUUGAAGAGUUUAUGACCAAUUCACACCAAACUAACUUGAGAUUUGAGAUGAAAGGAAGAGAGGAGAGUUUUUGUUUGCCUAGUAACCGGAGAAGAUCACUGAAGCAACCAGCGGCAACAACAAGUCCCAAACGAUAACGGAUAUUGAAUUUUAUAAAUUGAAUAUUUUUUUGUGGUAAGAAAUGAAAACCAGCUUGCAACCAAUGAAAACCUACUUCGCAGACAUUGUUGGCACUAUGCCCACUACAAUGAAGUGGUUUCAACAAGAAAUCUCAUAGGCAUGUUGUGUUGUUAUGCCCUUCGGCUAAAGUAAUCUCGAAGGUUUCAUUUUUAAUAUUGUAUUUAUUUGAUACGAUACUUAGUGAAUUGUAAAAAGAAAAAACAAAAUUAUGCUUUUCAAAGAAACUAGAUGUUUCAUUUCCAUUAAAGUAACAUACAUCAUAAUGAGAUUCUAACAAUGCUUCCAUAUUGCUUAAGGCAGUCUUCCCCUACACUGUGAAAACAAUCACCCAAAAGGACAUACAACUAAGAAAAAUAAAGCCCUGUGAAUCUAGUUUUGUUAAAACAAAUUAAGCUUUCUUAGGAGACUUGGUGGCCUUUGAUGGAGAUUUGGGUUCUUUGCCGGCGGCCUUUUCAGUCUUCUUCGGCAAAAGAACUGGGUUGAUGUUCGGCAACACACCACCGUGAGCGAUGGUUACGCCGGCGAGAAGCUUCCCUAAUUCUUCGUCGUUCCUCACGGCGAGUAGAACGUGCCUUGGGAUGAUCCUGUUUUUCUUGUUGUCACGUGCAGCGUUCCCAGCCAAUUCCAGAACCUGAAUCCAAAUUCAAAUUAAGAAACACGAAAUUCAAGUAUACGAAAACACAGUUAAAGGAUCUGAUUUUAAUUUGAUAUACCUCAGCGGCCAAGUACUCAAGAACAGCAGCCAAGUAAACCGGGGCUCCGGUUCCGACCCGCUGCGAAUACCUUCCUUUCUUCAAAUAACGGCCGAUCCUACCAACAGGGAACUGGAGACCAGCUUUGACAGACCUUGAAACGGGCUUCUUCUUCGGGCCACCACCUUUCCUUCCUCCGGCUCCCUUCUUUACUUUUCCUGAAGUUUCCAUUACUUCGAAACGACCCAAAUGCUUCGUUAACUUAAAACUCUUAGCUUUAGAAUUAGAGGAUAUUGAUUGGUACAGGAGAACUGAAGAAUGGAAGGGACGUCUCGAUAUUUUAUAGCAGUGGAUUUGGGGGAGAUGGUGUGAAGCGGGCGAGGAAUGAGUGCCGUUAGAUGGGAACUUACUCGACGGUUCAAAUUUAGAUAUUGGCGAUCCGUGCGAUCCCCAAACAACCAAUGAGAAACAAGCUACCAAUUUUUUGAAUUUUUAUCUCAUUCUGAAGUAAUUUGGGCGCCAUUUACAAAUUUUUUUGGUUUCCCGCUUCUGAAUUUCGGGUUCUUUUGAAGGCAUUUGUGGUUAGACAUAUUUGUUCGUCAUUUUAGAAUUUUCAGGUUGAAAGUUCAAUUAAUUGGAUUAACUAAAAUAAAUAAAUUAUAAUUAUGGGUAAUUAUUUAAUACACUAUUAUAGGAGUUUUUUAAAUUCUACCCUCUAAAGACGAGUUGAAAGUGAAGGUUAAAAGUACCAUAGAGACACUUCUAUUAAGAGUGAAGGUACAUUUUUUCUCUCUACUCAAAAUAUGGAUAAAUUAAUUCAUAUACAUUUAAAUUAAAGAGUAAAUGGUCCAUUUCUGUUAAAAAAUCGUCCAUUUAUACUAUUAAAAAUUGGCGACGCUGAUAGAAUAAUUAAAUAGUGAUUCUUGAUGUGCCACAUGUAUAUUGUGCUAAUGUAUAUGGACCAAUUUUUAAGAGUAAAAAUAGACAAAAAAAAAUUUAAUAGAAUAAUCAAUUUAUUAUUUGAUCUACUGUAAAUUGGUAGAAUUAAAUUUUGAAGUUGAAGGUUUGAGUUUGAGUUUUAUCAUACUCAUUAAGCUUUACUAAAACGAUUCUACUCGUUAUCCAUUAAGCAAAGAGAAAUUAAAGAUAAAAAAUAAAAUAACAACCCAUAAAAAUUAAACCCCAAUUCUAAAAUCAGUCACUUCAAUUUUAAAAAAGAAGUCAAGAUACAUGAAACCCUUAAAUUCUUUUUCAAAAGAGAACGAAAAUAAUGAGGUAAAAAUAAUUGUUUGAUACAAAAUCAAAAAGCAAAGAGAGAGAUAAACAAACAGAGAAAAUACAGCUUUCAUGAAAUCAAAUGAUUAAAAUUGGGGGAAGAAAAAAGAAAAUAAUACUUAAAUUUCCCCUCUAUUUUCUCUCUUUGAUUGUUGGAAAAAACAUUAUCUUCAUCUUUUCAGGAUUUGUUAAUAAAGAUGAAUGGAUUAUUCUAAAGAGAGAAAAAUACAACAGAGAAAGAUAAACAAAAAGAUUGAAAAUAAUUUUAAUUUUUGGUAACCGUCACUCAACUUGGAUUUCUAUUUUUUUUUCUUUUUCUCUUCUUCUUCUAAUGUCUAGUUAGGGUUUUUAUUGGAGCUGUUUAAAUAACAACAUAGACUCCAACGUGGCUAGUUAAAUGCCGCGAUAAUUUACCAUUAUGUUUGUAACGGAAAAUGGUUAGUAGAACCGAUUUGUUGUUUUUUAAAAGUUGAGUGACUGUUUUAUCAUUAAAAUCAAAAUUAAACGGCUGUUGGACAUGAGGAGCAAAAGGGUCUUCUUCAUCUUCUAAAACUGGUCCCUUCUUUCUUUUCCCCCAUUUUCUUCAUUUUAUUUUUCUUUUUUUCUUGUGUUCUAUAUUUAAAAUAAUCUCAUUUGAUAGAUUUUGAUUUUGAAGUUGAAGGUUUGAGUUUGGGUUUGGGUUUUGUCAUAUUUGUUAAGCUUUACCAUCAAACCACGACGAUUAUAUUCGUUAUCUAUUAAUCAAAAAGAAAUUAAAUAUAAAAAAUCAAACAACAAUCCAUAAAUAUUAAACCCUAAAUCUAAAAUAAGUUGUUUUAAUGUCAAGAAAGAAGUCAAAUAAUCAAAAGAUAAAUGAAACCCUUAAAAAAAAUUUCAAACAAGAAAGGAAUCAAUGAGGUAAAAAUAAUUGUUUGUUACAAAACAAAAAAGCAAAAAGAAAGAUAAGGAAACGGAAAAAAAUACAGCUUUCAUAAAAUUAAAGGAUUAAAAUUGGGGAAAAAAAGAACAUAAUACCUAAAUUUUCUCUCUAUUUUCCCUAUUUGAUCGUUGGAAGAAAUCUUAUAUUCCUCUUUCCAGGAUUUGUUAACAAUUGCAUUGAAUUUUUGGAUGAAGGGACUGUUCUAAAGAGAGAAAAAUAUAAUAGAGAAAUGUAAACAAAUAAAUUGAAAAUAAUUUUAAGUUUUGGUAACCGUCACUCAACUAGGAUUUUUUUUCUUUUUCCCAUAUUAUACUAUCCAAUUAGGGUUUUUAUCGGGGUUAUUUAAAUGACAACAUAGGCUCCAAUGUGGUCGUUUAAAUGCCAUGUCAAUUUUUCGUUACCUUUGUAACGGAAAAUAGUUAGUUGGAAUGAUUUUGUAAUUUUAUCAUUGAAAUCAAAUUUAAAUGACUGUUGGACAUGAGGAGCAGAAGGGUCUUAUUCUUCUUCUAAAACUGGUCCCUUAUUUCUUUUCCCCUCUUUUCUUUAUUUUUUUUUCUUUUGUUUUUGUGUUCUAUAUCUAGACCAAUCUCAUUUGGUAGAGUUUGAUUUUGAAGUUGAAGGUUUGAGUUUGGGUUUUAUCAUACUCGUUAAGCUUUACCACCAAACCACGACGAUUAUACUCGUUAUCCAUUAAGCAAAAAGAAUUAAAAGAUAAAAAAAAUCAAACAACAACCUAUCAAAAUUAACCUAAAUUCUGAAAUCAGUCUCUUCAAUUUCAAGAAAGAAGUCAAGAUAAAUGAAACCCUUAAAAAAUUUUCCAAAUGAGAAAGGAAAUAAUAAGGUAAAAAUAAUUAUUUGAUACAAAAAAAAUAAGAAUGUAAAGAGACAAAUAAGCAAACGGAAAAAAAUAUAGCUUUACAAAACAAAAAAGCAAAAAGAAAGAUAAGGAAACGGAAAAAAAUACAGCUUUCAUAAAAUUAAAGGAUUAAAAUUGGGGAAAAAAAGAACAUAAUACCUAAAUUUUCUCUCUAUUUUCCCUAUUUGAUCGUUGGAAGAAAUCUUAUAUUCCUCUUUCCAGGAUUUGUUAACAAUUGCAUUGAAUUUUUGGAUGAAGGGACUGUUCUAAAGAGAGAAAAAUAUAAUAGAGAAAUGUAAACAAAUAAAUUGAAAAUAAUUUUAAGUUUUGGUAACCGUCACUCAACUAGGAUUUUUUUUCUUUGACUAUUUUCUUUUUCUUUUUCCCUUCUUCAUGUACUAUCCAAUUAGGGUUUUUAUUGGGGUUGUUUAACAACAUAGGCUUCAACAUGACCGUUUAAAUGGCAUGUCAAAUCGUCGUUACAUUUGUAACAGAAAAUGGUUAAUAGGACCGAUUUGUUGGUUUUUGAAAGUUGAGUAACUGUUUUAUUAUUGAAAUGAAAAUCAAAUGACUGUUGGACAUGAAGAGCGAAAUAGUCUUCUUCUUAUUCUUCUAAAAUCAGUCCCUUCUUUAUUUUCCCCCAUUUUCUUCAAAUUUUUUCUUUUGUUUUUGUGUUCUAUAUCUAGAAUAAUAUCACUUAUUGGACAAGAGCAAAGCUAGGAAAUUGUUUGAGGGAGGGCCAAAAUUAAAUUGUAAUUUUUACAAGAGUAAAAAUAUAAUUUUACAAUUUUAAUAGUCGCUAUCUUUAUAAUUUUUAAAUGAUUAAAUCAAAUUUUUAUAAUUUUUAAGGGGCAAUUUGUAAUUUUACUUUUACUUAAUUUAAAAUUUUUAAAAUUUUAAAAUGGCCUAAAUGGAUUUUCCAUUUUAGAUGGGGGGCCAAGGCCUCUGGUGGCUCUCUGGUUUCGCCUCUAUUGGUAGAAUUUGAUUUUGAAGUUAAGGGUUGAGUUUUAUCAUACUGGUUAAGCUUUACCACAAAGCCACAACGAUUAUACUUGUUAUCCAUUAAGCAAAGAGAAAUUAAAGAUAAAAAUCAAACAAUAACCCAUAAAAAUUAAACCCCAAUCCUGAUAGAGUUAUUUAAAUGACAGCAUAGACUCCAACUUGGUCAGUUAAAUGCCACGUCAAUUUACCGUUACGUUAGUAACAAAAAUUGUUUAAUAGGAGUACUUUGUUAUUUUUAAAAGUUGAGUAACUGUUUGUGUAAUUUACCAGACUUUUUACCUAUAAAUAAAUAAUAAAAUAUUGUCCAUGUUUGAACUUACAACGUGUUUGGUUCAAUAUUAUUAACAAUUAUGUUAAAAUAUGACUAAAAUAUUUAUUAUUUAUUAUUAAACUAUAUUUAAUAAUAAUUUUAUUAAAAUUUCAUAACAAUAACAAUAAUCAUCUAUCUAACAUAAAAUUCUGCUAAAGGUACUUUGGUCAGUUAAGCCUUUUUCGUUAUGCUAUUACAACCUAUAUUAUAUUAAACCAAACAACCUUAUUACUAAUUAUAAUUCUAUUCCAUUCCCUCAACCAAACAUGCCCUUAAUGUUUAAUGUCAACAAUAACUUCAACAAAUAAUCAGAAGAACCCUUAGAAGCUAUCAUGUAAGUAUUGGUUGUACAUACCACAUGAUAAAUUAUCAGAAUCUUAUAGCUUAGGUUAGUACUAUUGUAAUAUCCCGAAUUAGGGCCUAAUCGGAAUAGUGGUUUCGUGACCAUAAAUCCGAGAUAGAAAUAAUUAUUUUAUAAUUAUUUUUAGGUUGAUGAUAUGAUUGCAUGAUUGUGUGAAAAUUUCGUGAUGAAAUUCUAUGCCUAAAGUGCUUAAAUUGAAAGUAGGGAUUAAAUCGAAUAAGUUGCAAAACUUGCAUUCUAGAAGUUUUUAGUAUGAAAUUGUUUUGGAAUAUUAAUGAGGAGGUCUUAAAUAGAAAUAUACUUUUUUUGUGUAAAUGAUCUUAUGGUAUGGUGAUGGAAUGGUUGAGGAAAUGCUUGAUAAUGAUAAAUUAUGAAAAUAUUUAGUUUAGAUUAUAUUUGAUGUUAAGGAAAUUUAUUAAGAUACUUAGUGCAUAAAAACUCAUAAAAGGGAUGAAAUUUGCCAUAAACAGAAUACUGCAGCAACACUGACGCGAGUUUAAAAAUUUACUAAAAAUCAUAGAAAUUGAACUUGGUGAUGGAAUACAUAACAAAUUGAAGCUUAUUAUGUCUAGUUUCACAUGAAACAAAUGAAAUAGGUAAAGGAAUUAUAUGUUACAAGAUAUUUGAAUUUUAGUGAAACAGGGUCAUAGCAGUUUCUGAAUCCCCUGUUCCAACUUUAGAAAUUCACCAUAAAUUUUAAAGAUAUAAUUAGGUAGUGUAUUUUAUAUUCUCAGAAUCCUUAUUGAGUCUCAUAGUCAUAUGGAUUUUUUACAGAGAGAAAUGUGGUUCGUAGUAAACAGAGGUCAGACCAGUCAAGUCCUGAAACAGGGGUAACUUUAACUAAUAAACUGUACUAAUUGGCCCAACCAAAAAUUCUAGAAAAAAAUUAGUAGAUAGGUAUAUGAGUCUAGAUUUAGGGAAAAUUUACGGAUCUUGAUUUCGAGUUUCGUAACUCGAGAUAUGAUUUUUCUUGUGACUGUGAUGCAAGUAGCUUAAAAGCUGUGAAUGUAGAAAUAAAUAAUCCAAAGUUCUAAAUAUGUUAAAUUAAGCUUAGUAACACCUCAUACUCGACUCCGGCGACGGUCUCGGGCGUGGGGGCGUUACAACUAUAUUUGAAUUUGCUUUUCAUACACGUGUCCUUUUGCUAAAGCAGCCUCUACGAUUUCAUCUUAUUUAUAAAGAUGAAAACAAAAUUAUACCAAAAAAUAUAUAUCGAGAAUAGAAACUAGAUGUUUCAUUUCCAUUAAAGUAGUAGACAUGAUAAUGGGACUCUAACAGUUCUUCCAAUUUGCUUAAAACAUCCCAAAGGAAAUACAACUAAGAAAAAUAAAGCCCUAUUAAACUAUGUCUCUUAACAAUCAAAUUAACCUUUAUUAGUAGACUUGAUAGCCUUUGAUGGAGAUUUGGGUUCUUUGCCAGCGGCUUUUUCAGUCUUCUUCGGCAAAAGAACUAGGUUGAUAUUCGGCAACACACCACCAAGAGCGA
This 11658-nucleotide long non-coding RNA is filed under the name Gossypium barbadense (sea-island cotton). Its description in RNAcentral is "long non-coding RNA (GBAR_LNC006775)". The stretch from base 6316 to 6438 matches the Rfam family "MIR7502 microRNA precursor family", at positions 12 to 132 of the family's 143-position model. The record is from RNAcentral. Lineage: Eukaryota; Viridiplantae; Streptophyta; Magnoliopsida; Malvales; Malvaceae.